GAUGACCCUGCGCACGGAAGCCUCGCGCGGCGAGAUUGUAUACCAGACCAUGUACAAAUUGGAGGCCGACGCUGACGCCGAGGGCUGGCGGGACGUCUACAUCCCGUUCGUGGACUUUCGGAUG
RNAcentral lists this non-coding RNA (124 nucleotides) under Corethron hystrix. Lineage: Eukaryota; Bacillariophyta; Corethrophyceae; Corethrales; Corethraceae. The record is from RNAcentral.